Mus musculus (house mouse) is the source of this 29526-nucleotide long non-coding RNA. RefSeq annotates it as predicted gene, 31349. Lineage: Eukaryota; Metazoa; Chordata; Mammalia; Rodentia; Muridae. The transcript is spliced from 2 exons. The record is from RefSeq and is a predicted model, not a curated record.
UCCUUCCCCCUUCCCUCCCUUCCUCCCACCCUCCUUUCCUUCCCCCUUCCCUUCCUCCCUCCCUCCCUUCCUUCCAGUUACCACAUGUAAGUGCAAAUGUUACUUGCUUUCAACUUUAUCCCACCUAGCAUGUUUUCUUCUAGUUUCUUUCACAUCACAAUAUUCACAAAGGAUUAAAUGUCAUCCAUUUAUCUUGCUAAAUAAUGAUCUCUUGGGUUUGUAUCACCCUGGGUGGAUGAAAUGAAAAGAAAAGAUCUUCCUGCUGUGGUGUGAUGUCAUUUCCUGGGUCAAGCACAGAAAGGAGGGGAGCAGCAGUAAGCGUUGGUGGCCCUGUGCAUUCUGAUUGUGAGUGCGGUGUGGCUGGUGCUUCAGGCUUCUGCCAUCUAUACCUCCCUGCCGUGAUGGACUGUAUUCUUAACCUGUAAGCGAGUGGAGGCCUGACAUUUACUUGGGCCUACAGUGACAGGAGAAGGAACAGAGCCAUGCACUUUCAAGUUCUCUAUUUCACUUGUCUAUGAGUGAAGCGUUGAUUGUGAAGACAUAAUGCCAUACCUUAUUUAAAUGCUGCCAUCUCCGUCCCCAAUUCAGUUUCUCUUUCCUUUCAUUGCUCAGCGAAUGUUCUAUCCUCUGUGUGAUUUUACCAUCGGCAUUUAUAUCUUAAAUGCUUUCUGUCGUUUAUAAUUACGUAUUGUGACAUAAUUGGAGUCAUUACAUUAUCGAGAAGUUUUGGUAAUGGCCAGACUGCAACCAACACAGGAGCGUUGCCGAGGAUAUGUAUGUGGUUGAAGUCAUUCCCGGAGAAGCCACUUGCUGCGGUGUUCAGUCAGUGCCCCACACCGCAGGGUGACUCCUCAGCCUCUUCAUGCCAUGAUUGCUGUUGAUUUGAUUGAAUCGGAUGAGCUCACCUUCCUUCGGGAACUUGGUCUCUGGAUGUCCCUCAGGGAAGCUGAGGAGCAGCAUCGUUGCGUGGGACUUAAGCCACCUCAAGAAAUAGAGCUACAUAAAAGCCUGCCAACCUCCAUCCAUGUUUAUACAGGUAGAUCCUGAAGAUGGACGCUUCAGCCAUCUUGAAAAACCCACCAAUGAUUCAACAAAUAAGGCAGCAAGCACCUGAAUUCACCUCUUUGUAGUUGCUUUCAAUGUCAACGCUGAUAAAACAUUUCAGUGGUCUCUGUGCUAUGACUCUGAUCAAGUCUUUAAUAAAGCUUUGUACGCUUAUAAAGUAUUGGCAUAAAUUAGCAAGCAUUUAUUGCUUAUACAGGCUGUAAUAGAGAAUUCUUUUUUACUUUCUUCAGUUGUGUAUGCCUGGAAUCCCCGUUUCAGUUAGCGCUUGUUAAGAUGUUGGCCUUUUCCCAUGGGAUAGGGCAGCUUAAUAUAUGGUUCUUAUUAGUUUGUCUAGUUCGUUACCAUUCCUCUGUCAAGCUAAAUGGCUUUUAGAUGACUCGUGCAUUUAAGUCUGUUCAAAAGUUGUUAAGGUUUGUAAUUUAUCAUAUAACCAUUUCUGACCUUGUUUGGUCCCUGACUAGAGUGAUGUUCAUUGAAUAUAUAUUGAAGAAUAUGAGAAACAUUAAUGUCGCACUAAAAGCAUUAGCAGUAAGCGUGUGUGUUUGUGUGUGUGUGGUGUGUGUGUGAGCACAUGUGCGAGGUGGCUAAGUUGUUGCUGGCAAUCAAUCAUAAGGCUUUAUUUCUUAUAUUUGGUAGUGAAGACAUUUUCCAUUAUUUAUAAUUUUUAAAUUACUUCCAUUUUAAAAUUAGCCACCCUCAUUUCAGCCCAUGUUCAACAGUGAUAUAUUUUCUGAAUCUAUAUCAUUGUAUAUGGUUUGACCUUUAGUUGAAUCUGGUAGUAAAGAUCAGGAUGAGUUAUGCUCGAGCGGAGAGGGCCUUUAAUGUUUCUCCGUGCUUGGUGUUGUCCCACCACACAUGCUGUGUGAUGUUAUUAAUUUGCUUGAAUCAUAAUGAGCUUAAAAAAAAAAACCCCAAGUCGGUCUUGGCUAAUGCAUUCUUGGACGUUAAGAAAGGGCUGUAACACCUGAGUGUUCUGCAUGAGCUGCAAUGGAGGCAGACAGUUGCCUACAGGCAGCAGAAUGUAUUUCUGCAGGUGUGUUUUCUCUGUGUGUGUGUGUAGGUGACUCUCGAUGACCCUAGCAGUGUCCUUAUUCUCAUUUGGGAGCUAAGUUUUUAGAAUGUAACUAACUGAAUAUUUGUGGAGUCGCCCCCAAACCACUCAAACAGUAGGAAGGCAUAAAUGACUCUGAGUGUUUAAAACAUGCAGAAGAAUAAACUCGGUCAUCAGUGGCAUGCAGUGGGUAUGUGGCUGUCUGUAUGUUACCAUUCCCUUGGGCCCAGCAGUGUCUGUUCACCUAGGCAGGAAUAUCAAGUCCUUGACAGUGCCCUGCCCGGGGAGAGUCAGUGACUAUGGCUCAGCCUUAGUCACAGGGCCUGGGCCUCUGGAACACCCCUGGUCUACUUUUUUGGUAUACAAUGACUCAUGUAGUCGAUCGACUGUGACAGUGAAGUGAUUGCAGACAGGGAGACCUAGGCUUUCAGUGAGUCCAUGAGGGGCAAAGGUCAGUAUCAUUCUAAAAUCAUUCACAGCCCACAGAAGUAAAACGCAACUUCACUUGAGAGAGUCGAUGCAUUUCUGAAAGUUUCAUAUUACCAGAAAACCACCAUCUCAUCAUAAGUUCCUUAAAGUGCUAGGCAGAUGCAUAUAUGGGAAAAUUUCAGGCAGCCAUAGGGGCAUUUAAGAGUGCUUCAAAUCUAUUAAGAUUGCAGAUAGCACGGAUUUAUAGAGCAAAUAUUUUUUUUCAAUAAACCAUCUUGUGGGGAGGAUUGAAUAAGCUGAAAAUGAUCUGGGAAGUUUUGAGUGUCUGUCACCUCCUGGGAGCUAGUGUCAAUGGAGAAGGGUAUUGGUUUAACUGGGCAAAUUCAUCAUUAGAGGCUAACAGUGACUUAGUAGUUGGCCCAGUGUGGCUAUGGGCCACUCGUAUCAGAAAACUUGAAAGUUACAGGAUAUUUGCUUCGUUAGUUAAGGUCAACUUCCUGACAUUGUUAGUAUGUUUGGACACUUUAGAAAAAAAUCUCUUAGAUUUAGCUGGGGUCAUUUUGCAAGCCUGUAAUCCCAGCUACUCCAAGGGGCUGCGGCAGGAACAUGGCAGGUUCAUUGGCCUGUCUGAGUUAUAGCGGGUAUUCAAGGCUAGCCUAAGCAACUUAGUGAAUCCCUGUCUCACAAUACAAAGUAAAGAGAAGACCCGGUUUAUGGACCCAUGAUGGAGCCCUUGCCUAGUGUGCACAAGCCUCUAGGUUCAGUCAAGCCUUCCCUUUCUCUCCCCAAGACUACCUCAGACUUCUCCUAAGUGUGUAAUUGAUAGUAUUUAGAUCCCUAAAGGGUCUAGUACUGAAUCGUUUUCUCAAGAUAUUUAAGAAGUAAUAAAAGCAAAUGCUUCCUUAUCUUAGAAUUGAGGAAAAUGUUAUUAUAUAUGUAUAUAUAUAUUCAUAAAUAUUAUUUUAGGGGGAUUUAUUAAUUUUAUGUGUGAGUGUUCUGUCUGUCUGUCUGUCUGUCUGUAUGUAUGUAUGUAUGUUAUGUGCACCAUGUGCAUGCUUGGCGGCCAUGGAGGUCAGCAGAGGGCAUCAGAUCCUCUAGAACUGGAGUUAGGAAUGAUUGUGAGCUGUCAUGUGGAUGCUGGGAAUCUAAACUGGGUCCUCACUGCAAUCAGAAGUACUUUUACCCAUUGAGCCUUCUCUUCAGCCCAUAAAUACAGUUUUUAAUCACUAAAUAGAUAAAUAGAUAGAUAAAAAAUGCACUGAACAAAUAUGUUUUACAUUGUAUAUUUCUCUUGGGUCCCUCCUACCCCCAUACCUUAUAGCCAUUGUCUCUUUCAUGCAUGUAGCUACCUUUCUCUGUUUAUUCUUUUUCUUGAGAGCUAGCUGUGAGUGUUUUGUAUUUCUUAAUACAAUUUGCCUCUUUUUUUUUUUUAAUUCAUUUAUGUAAGUACACUGUAGCUAUCUUCAGACACUCCAGAAGAGGGUAUCAGAUCUCAUUAGGGAUGGUUGUGAGCCACCAUGUGGUUGCUGGGAUUUGAACUCAGGACCUUUAGAAGAGCAGUCAGUUCUCUUAACUGCUGAGCCAUCUCUCCAGCCGCACAAUUUGCCUCUUAAGAGGCAAAAUUGAGACCACUAAUAUAGCUACUCAUGUAACAAGAGAGAAAAUGAGUGUUAGAACAUUUUAUUCUUGAAAUUCAGAUUCAAUGCCCAAGAAGAUGUUAAAUUAAAACGUUUAGGAACAAAUUUUAUAUGAUAUUUGACAUUUUUUUGACAUGGUUUCUCCUUCAGAAGUCUUUAUUACCUUCACCACACUCACAGCCAUUAAUUAGACUUAAUUAUGUAACUAUACUGGCGCUCACUCGUGUUUCUUCAGAAAGCCAGUUUUCUGGUCCUGCCUCCUCCCAUCCCUGUAGUCUCUAACAACAGUGGCAGCUGAAGUUUGUUAGGUUGCUUAACCUUCCUUUCUGUGGCUCACCUUGCUGCAGAUUGAAAAUAAUUUUUUUUUACGUCAUGCGUGUCCAAGCCCCCUUUUGUAGUCAGUAUGGCAUAACUUUUGUUUACACAUCAUUUGCAUUGUACGUGAAGCAGGGGUUGAGUGUGCAUGGGAGGAUGUGUGUAAGGUUGUCUAGAAAUACUCUGCUAUUUAUCUAGGAUACUGAGCAUCGUGACAUCUUGCUGUCUAUGUCAGCUUCUUGGAUUCCAAGGGCUGAUUGCGUUACCAGCGUGUCCUGGGCAUUGGUGUGUGCUCUUCUGUCGGGGUUAAGCCUCUCUACACCGCUCUGAUGUUGACUUUAUUAUUAUCUCCUCUGGAAAGAUAAAUUAACAUAGUGGAUGAGAACUGAAAUACUUUGUGCGUUGUCACCAGACCUUUGCAGCUGCAAGCUGGUAAAUCCGCCUCUCUCUCUAACGUCCAUAUUUCCCUUGGGUAGAAGAAGCACACGCGCGCAUACACCUGCAAACCUCGCCAAUCUGAGAACUCUGCACAGCUUCAAGAUAUAAAUGACCAGUGCAGUUCAGCAGGACAUUACUGAGCCACGAUGGCGUUUUCCUCCCAGGGAAGGUAAAGCUGUGGCUGUCCUACUGAAUCUGCCAGUUCCCUCUUCCCAGGCAUCCCGUUCUCUCUUCUCAGGCAUCCCGUUCUCUCUUCCCAGGCAUCCCGUUCUCUCUUCCCAGGCAUCCUGUUCUCUCCCUGCGCAAACUAUGCUUGUAGGUUCACACUUUCACUUUUAACUUUAAAAACCAAGCCCUUGUUGCUGGGUUGGAGUUUGGCCUGUCAGGUCAUUAUUAGUUAAACUUGUGUAAAAUAACAAAAUUCCCAUCAUGUCAGAUUUCGGUGUUUCUUUGGACUUGAAAGGAUCCCCACAUCGCACCUGUGUUUCUCGCUCCCGUCCCACUUACUGGCUUUGAUUCCUCUCUACAAAUGCUCGUUGUUCUCAUUGGCUGUGUUUCCAUAAAAUAAAGGCCAACCCACAGGCUGUUUAUCUUAGCAGCCUGAGGCUUGCCUCUCCUGCCCUGGUACGCUUCUUCUUCCUGCCUUGUUUCCAGAGGCACCCUGUCCAUCCCCAACCCUGUCCAUCCCCAACCCUGUCUCCCACGAUGGCCAUUAGAAGCUCAUUCUUUCUGUCACUCUCCUUCCUUCCCUUUUUGGAACUUCCUUCUGCUGUGGCAGCGGCAGGUCUUGGUUAGCUGGACCAAUCAUGCCAACAUCGAUUCUCCAAAUGUAUAGCUUUCUGGGCUCGAAAAAGUUCUCCACCUUCUAGUCUACUAAUGUAAUUCUAAUGAAAGCCGGAGAUUAAAUAAUUGAUAUAACCAAAAUGUACUGAUCUGAGGGGAAAGAAAUCAGAUCCAAAAUAGAAAAAUUAAAUGAAUCCUCCCUCACGGGGUCACAUCUGAUUAUUUUCUUCUGCUUAUAAAUGAAAACAAAACUAAACAUGGCUCAUCAACUGUAGUUGUUUUACUUUGUAGACAGUAUAGUCCUUUUUCCUCCUUUUCCUCCUCCUCCUCUUCCUCUUCUUCCCACUCCUCCUCCCCUUACCCCCUCCUUCUCCUCUCUUCCUCCUCUUCCUCCCCCCUUUUCUCCUCUUCUUCCUCCUCUUCUUCCCCUUCCUUCUCCUCCCUUUCCUCCUCCUUCUUUCUGUCUUCGUUUUUACCCUACAUCUUUAUAUCAGGGUCCUUGAUACAUGUGUCACUGGCUAGCCUUUUCCCAUGGGUCCUGCUCUUCCGAUGUGACAUUUUCCACAUCUCCUUUAUUUAGUAGCUCCCAAUUCAUUGGCCUUUCCCACUCCUAUGCUGUAUGUUAGUUUGAAGUAGGAGGACAGGUCCUAAUAGACUGCAUUGUAGUGCUCCGAUGGAGCUUAAGGUUUCUAGGGUUCCUGUCGAAGGGUAAAAAUGACCAUGGUGGAGGGAGAAGAGGCAUGAAUCCCAAAAAGGACUGGAAAGAGGGCUCAGCUGUUAAAAACUCCUGUGGAUUUUUCUGAGUAGAGUUCCAUUUACCUGACAAUCAUGUUAGGCAGUUCAAAACUGCCUGUAACUCCCACCCAAGCUGAUCCACUGUUUCUGGUUUCCUUAGAAACCUGCAUGUAUAUACACAUAGCCCAUAUACACAUGCACAAAUACAAUCCAAAGUUUCAUAAAUAAAUAAGAUUAAAGAGAAACCUACAUCCAGAUAGUAAGUGAUACUGCAUCUACUCUUUUUCAAUUAAUCUUUGUUACUGAUGAUGGGGAAUUAGAUACAUCAGUGACUGAUCCAUGCUAGGGGGUUUAGCCUUGCCAUAUGCCCUACAUCAGUGACUGAUCCAUGCUAGGUGGUUUAGCCUUGCCAUAUGCCCUACAUCAGUGACUGAUCCGUGCUAGGUGGUUUAGCCUAGCCAUAUGCCCUAGAUGGAUGAGUAACUUAACUCUAACUUCUGUCUUUAACUCUACCCAGUGUCUUUAUUAUGUCUAGAAGUGACCAAUCAUGUUCAUUUUAAGCAAUGUAAAUAUCCAAGACCAAUCUUAAAUAUUAUGGCUUUCUUAGACUAACAUUCCUUGCUCACCAUAAGGAAUGAGCUGUUCAGGGAACUCAACUUUCUUCAGCCUGCCUCUGGGUAUGUCAGCACUUUUGGCAAAUCAAUAUAUUUAAGAGGGAAUUGAAAAAUUAAUAGGGAUUAUAUUACCACAAACUUAGGUUUUGUAGUUGUUAAAUUGGCUGCAAUGAAAUAAUGAAUAGUCACCUAAACUGUUAAAAUGCACUAUACUCACUCUAACGCGCCCAGUGUUUGGAGGUUUUCCUCACCGCCCCCGUGCUUCAUCAAAGCAUUACAUGUAAAGUGCUGCCCGGGCCACAGUUCGAUUAGUCGUGUCUUUUGGAGUAUGACAGAUUUACGUAUCUCAGAAGAUGCUGAGUAAGGAGUUCUACUCAGGCUGUACUGAAAUUGCCUUUAUGCAGCGCAGUGGAUGAGACCCAGAAAUAGAAUAGGUUAUUGAUUUUUGCCUAUUUUGCAUUUAUGGCAAGAGAAAAAUAAUACUUGUAAUUUUUCUUUCAAGCAUACAAAGUCUGUGCAGAAUUUUUCUCUCUCAUUUCUUGUCUGAUGUUGAUAUUACCAGAACUUUCCAUAGGCUCCCGCCUCCACAUUUGCAUCUGUGAAGUCAGCAUGCCUGUAGUAUCUGUCUAACUGAUUAGCUGCUUCAUUUCCCCACAGAUUUUGCAUUGCACUUUCUUAUUCAGGAUCCCUCUCACUUUCUCAAGUUGGUUUAUGGUAGAAUAUCGGUUUGAAUGUAAGACUUUCUCUUCCUUCUCCUCCUGCUAUUCUUCUUCCUCUUCUUCCUCCUCUUCCUUCUCCUCCUGCUAUUCUUCUUCUUCUUCUUCCUCCUCUUCCUUCUCCCUCCUCCUCCUCCUCCUUUUUGAUAUUUAGUUGAAUAGAAUGUAGACCUAUAUUUUUUUAAAAAAUAAAUUUGAAUUUAGAUUUUUCUACUUUUCGUACAUGUGGAUCAUUCCUGUUUUUCACAGUUAAGACAAUUUUAACAAGUAAAAAUUAAGAAGCUUGGUUUUCUGUUAGGAAUUGAAGUCAAGAUAGAGAUGGGCAAUUCAUGAAACCACUUAAGCCAAGCACUUCCUCAGCCUUCGUAGCUUUCAAGUAAUGCCAUGAUCCAGAGUUUACUGGUGAUGAAAGGCAGAGAUAAGAGCUGUAGCUCACUGGUCUGUUACCGUACUAACAGAAACUGACAUUUGCAACACACACUGUACCUCAUGUCCCUUUUCUUAAAGGAGACAUGCUUUGUUUUGGCCUCAUUGCCAUGAAUCUGUCUCAGGAAAGGGUCUUAAGAGAAAACCCACUCCCUCUUUUUGUUGUUCUGUGCAUUAUAAAAGGAAAGAAAAGGGAAUACAGCGUUUGAUUGGAGCAGUGAGCAUCCCCUCGUGGAUCUGGUAACCUUGUUAAAAGGUGAUGUCCUCGUAUCUUCUCCUGAGUUAGUUUAUAGUUGAUAAACUAGCAGCUUGCAAGAUGUGCCCUGGGUUUCUAUCUCUCCUCUCCACACACCUAUUACUUCACAUGUUUGCCUGUGUGCACAACACAUGCCUGAUGCCCACAGGGGCUAGAAGAGGGCAUUGGAUCCAUAGAUCUGAGUUGCAGAUGGCUUCGAGCUUCCAUGUUGGUAUGGGGAAUCAAACCCUGGUCCUCUGAAGAGCAGCCAGUGUGCUUAGCCAUGGAGUCAUCCCUGUGUCUCCUUUUUUCUAUAUUCUUAUAUCUGACUCCUGUGAUUUUAGACACUUCCCCUUUGGAAGCUCAGAGUCUCUUACUCUCCUCUUCUUGUGUUCCGCCCUUCUGGAAGAACCAGACCGUGCACAAACUGCAGGGGUGAGUUGACUGCAAAUCCAGCCUGUUCUAGUAAGGCCUCAAAGCAACAAGAACAGAACAUACGAGAAUCUCAGGAAUCUAGUCAAGCCUUGGGCUGCAUAUUAAAAGCUGGUUCUGCUCAGCUAUGGUUUCCCUACAAAUUUAAAGUUAUACUAAAAUAGUUUAUGAAUUCAAGCCCAGUUGACUCUUCUUUAAAAGAUUUAUUUAUAUAUUUUACAUAUACGAAUGUUUUGUCUGCAUGUAUGCCUGUAUACCAGAGAUAACAUCAGAUCUCACUGUGAAUGGUUGUGAAGAUCCAUGUGGUUUGGUAGAAAUUGAACUCAGGACCUCUGGAAGAGCAGCCACUGAGCCAUCUCUCCAGCCUGCCAGUAGAUUCUUGAUGAAGAUGUGACAGAGUCAUUGACACAUAUAGCUAAUAAGCGUUAGUCAUCUACCUUGAUAACUCUUGGAUUUUCACUGUCUCUGAAUGUUUGUGUUCUCAAUAUUAAAUGUGUACAUAAGUAACUUUUUAAGUAACUGAGGUAGUAUCAAAAAUUCCUCUUAAGUCAGAUUUUGCUAAUAUUGAAGGAAAACUAGGGGUUCUGAAAUAUCAGGCCAUUCAAAUAUACACAGCACCUAAUGGACAACCACGUGGUAAGUCAUUGACGCCUUCAUUAAGUAGCUGGUGAACCCUUCACAGUUAGUCAGGUGACAAUUUCAAGCUUUAUAAGAUAAAAGAGCUAGGUUGAUCCUUCGGAAUUAUGUAAGGACACACUCUAAUCUGGACACAGUGGCAAACACAGGGUAGGUGAAGAUAAAGAUACCUGGAACCUGCCUUCUAGGAGCACAAAUGGGAAAGACGACAGAGAAUCCGUGGGGACUCAGCCCUAACUGUUCCAGGGAACUGUGAGAACCUGAAGGGUGCAAAGGUGACAGACUUCAGAGAUGGAGAGAUGAGUGGCAGGUGAGGGAGUGGGAAAGUGACUUUAGAGAUGAUAGGGCUUGGGACAGGAGUGGACCCUGGUUGACUGACGGCAGGCUGUUUAUUUGGUGCACCUACAAUAUUUCAUUGUUACCACAAUGUAUAACACUUUUGAAAUCCCACGUAGACGUACUUACCGUGUCCUUUUGAAAAUCAGAACAGGACAGACACCCGAGGCUUUGUUGUCAAACGUGGCUUCAAUGAGACUGAUGCUCUCUGGCUCCACAACCUUUCAUGUGACUUGGAGAAACCCUGGCUUCCCAGUGAGGGAAGCCGUGAAAUGGAAGUGGGAGAAGAUUUGGGUCAAGCCAUGCAUCUUACUCCUUUCAAGUAGAAAAGGAUUUUCGGAAGAUUAUCAAAGAAGAUUCCUCAUCAAAGGAGAACUUUUUGUGGAGAGGAAACGUAGGUUGACUGGUGUCCACCCCAAACGCAUGUGCUUAAAUCUCAGCUGCCAGUUCCUCAGGAUGUGGCAAUAUUUGGAAGUAUUACACUUUAAAGAGAUAACACCCUCAUCCUGUUUGAAUGUGUUGUCACCAAAGGAAGAGACACCGGAGACAUGUGUGCCCAGAAGGGCAGCCACAUUUGCCAGUCAACAAGACAGACCAUGGUGGAAGCCAUAUUUACUCUGGAGAGCUGCUUUGGUUAGUCAUGCUGAACUAGGCCGGCUCUUGCAAGUGAACAAGGGGACUCUGAGGAGAACACUGAUAGAGCUGGGACUGUUGACUCUAAUUGUGCAGAAGCCACCAACAGUUGCCAGACAAACCUCCAAUGUCAGUUUACAGAUCUGGCCAAAGGUUCAAUGAAGGCCUAUUGCAUUAACUUAACUCAUUAGAGUGAAACAUAGCCCUGGGGUCAGAUACCCACAGUAUACCCCAGGGAUUUGUUGUAGGUAGUGAAAGGAACCUUGAGGGUCUUUUGAAACCUUUGUCCCCUACUUCUCGUGUAGAGAGGCUGAGGAAUGCCACGGUGAUGAUAGGAUGCUUUCACUAAAAGCAUCAAAUCUUUACUUGGUCCUCAAGGCAACUAAAAGAGGGAUGGGUGUCUGGUGUUUCUUCACGUGCCGCUUCAGACGAAACGAAUUGCACUUGUGCGUGCCUUAGCUGAUCUAGAGAUGAAUACUCAUUUUCUGUCUGGUGAAAAAGUAUUGUGAUUGCAUUGCUCUUUAAAAGUGCACACGGGUUGGAGGGAAAGCCCAGCAGUCUUACAGGAGCCUGCAUUUGUCUCCCAGCACCCUAACAGUAGCUCACAAGUGACUAUAGAUCUAGUUCCAGGGGAUACCCUUUUCUGGCCCCCGUGUACUGCAUACAUAUAUACAGUCAAAAUACAUAUAGGAAAUAAAAACAAAUAAAUCUUUUUUUAUAGUUGCAAUACAUCUCUGAGCCUGAGUUGUCUACUUCAGGGAUCAGGUGUGGGUGUGCCUGUGUGUGUAUGUUUUUGUUUGUGUGUGCUUGUAUGUGUGUUUGUAUGUGUGUUUGUAUGUGUGUGUUUGUGUAUGUGUUUGUAUAUGUGUGCUUGUGUGUUUGUCUGUGUGUGUAUGUAUAUGUGUGUGUGUUCCUAUGUGUGUGUGUUUGUAUAUGUUUGUGUGUGUGUAUGUGUGUGUGUUCCUAUGUGUGUGUGUUUGUAUAUGUUUGUGUGUGUAUGAGAGUGUGCUUGUCACUCCUCUCUCAUAUUAUCAGCACCAUCCACUCAGGCUGAUGGAUAUGGAAGCACACUCGGAUUGUGCUGAGGGAAUGCAUUUGUUAGUCUCUAUGAGUGUUUGUUUUUUCAGGUUGCUGUGUUCUGCCUCUAGGCUCUGAACCUUGGUUUCUAUGUCAACAGAUAGGAUUCUUGUGGAGUGUUUGUAAGACAGCUAGCUGGCUGUCAAGGAUACUUGUUGUCCAGAAUGGCUUGCAUUCCUGAGGCUGCACAUGGAUUUAACAUCUCACAUGAUACCACGAUAAGAAACUAGUUUGUUUGUUUGUUUGUUUCCUUCUUUCUUUCUUUUGAAAAGAGAAGGGAAUGAGAGGCCAAAGUUUCAUCUCUGAUGACAUUAGCAAAAGUCACAGACACUCUGUGGACUUCUGUGUCAGGUAUAGUGAAGUGACAGUUCCUCUCUCAUGUGUUUAUUGGAGCACUGAAUUGAAUCUAUGUACAAGCACAGUGCCUAGUACAGUUCCUGGGGGUAAGCUGCUUACCCCUAACUAACCCUUUCUCCUCUGUGCAGCGAGUAUCUGUGUCCCUGUCUGCUCAGCAUCCAUGCCUCUCUCCUCCAGGACCAGCCUCUGGGCUUUGGGUGGCUUCACUUUCCCUAAUCCCCACCUUUGUGCUAGGGAUCCAACAAAGGGCCUUAGAUGCUGGGCAAGUGUGCUUCCACUGAACUGUGUCCCCAGUCACCUCACCACUUUUAAACCUUGAAAUGGGCAAGGUGAUUGUGCUGCAAUACACCCCAAAUUCCCACUUGUUUAUGAAGUAAUUUCACAAACAUUCUUCCUUAAAGGGCAAGAAAUAUUUGUUGGCUGCCUUUUUCUCUGUACACCCAAGCCUAGGGCUGGAGUACAUUCAAAGGACGUUCAAAGGACCCUUCUCUCCUGGUGCUCUCAGUACAGUGACUUCACAGGGGCAGAGUAGGGAUGGUCCUUAUCUAGCAGGUGUAUGUAGAACAGCCAGAGGUACAAUCCCAAAUUAAGUUUGGUGCCAAGUGUAGUAACUGUUCACUUUACUCUAAAAGAGUUAAUUAAGCAAUUAUAAGUUAAAAAAAAAAAGCCUUAGUUCCCAUUGGUCAAUUAGAGGCUCCUGGAAGAAUGGUUAAUUAUUGAAUGUGUUCACUUUAUAUUAUCUUUUUAUGUAAUCUAGAAAAGAAAAUAUUCCAGGCGCUGGUUGUGCAUGCCCUUAAUCCCAGCACUCAGUAAGCAGAGGCAUGUAGAGCUCUGAGUUCCAAGACAGCCAGGGCUAUACAGAGAAACCAUGUCUCAAAAAAAAAAAAAAAAAAAAAAAACCAAAAAAAACCCACCAAACCAAAACAAACAACAGAAUUGGAUGCUUUAUCUUACAUGCAUUUGGCCUGUGAAAUGAAUGUCGUCUCUCUUUAGCAUCCUCUGAACGGUAGAUGUAAGCAAAGUGUUCUUCUCAUGCCAAGCUGCUGAUGGCUCUUAACGAAUCAGUGCCACUCUCUGCUCAGAGGCUUCAUAGAGUGGCUGGUUUCAUCUGUCCUGUCAUUAGAAAACUUGCCUUGACUGUGAAGUCUCUGUGUUAUUGAGAGCCACCUGCUGGCAGGGUCACUCCUGCAUAUGGCCACCCUGAUUUAGAUGCUUACGGCUGAUGGGGACAUAUUGAUCUUAUUAAUUUUAUGUGUGCAUGGGGGUGGGGUCAAAUAUUAUAAGAAUGUCACUGAAGCUGCCAAGAGCAAGAAUAUGUCACUACUAAAAGUUAGCUUGGUACUGUGGCCAGGAUAGAAGCUAUUGGGCCCCGGCUUGUGUAUCUCAUGAUGAUUACAAAUUCACACUGGCAUGUUUAACAGAAACCUAAAAUUGUGUAUGGUACUGCCUGGUGUUAGACAUUGUAUAUACAAUUUAACAGUAGACAUUUAAUUUUUAGAGUAUCUGAGAUUUAGAGCAAAAUUGUGAUGAUAGCGCAGAGUUACCAAGUUUUCUCUGUUUACUGUUAUCCUAGUAUUGCACACUGCUAUAGUUAGUGGACAGUGACAGUGCACAGGUCUGUGCUAUACAGACGUUCUUAGCUUUCACAUAACAAUCUUUUCCCGAUCUUGUAUCCUGCCAUACCAGUCUAGUCAUCGUGUUAUUCCAGCUUUCAGUUACUGUGACAACUUCCCAGACUUGCUUUUUUGACAGUCUUGCCUGUUUUCCCGAUUAUUGGUCAAGGAUUGCAGAACGAACCUUAUGUAGCAGAAGGUCACAUUUGUUGAAGUGGGCUUUAUUGGGUGGAGUUACAUGCAGAUAUGGGUUACAUAGAGGGAAAGUUCUGAUUCUAUUGGCUUCUUCCCAACCCCUGAGAAAGCUGUGACUUACUGUUGCUGUUGGCCUUAAUCACAUGACCAGUUGGUGUUGGCCCUAAUCACAUAACCAGUGUAUCUUCCCCACAGUCUUUUGAAGAACACUGCUGUGUUCAGCCCACACUGAUGGGCUUGGGGUUUUGUCCUACCUGUGAAAGGAGUCUGUGACGGUUACACAUGCUAUUGGCAAUUUUCUCAAGGGAAUAUUUAUGUCUUCAUCUAUUAGGUGUUUGUAUCAGUAUAUGUUUAGAGACUCUAGUUUUGGACUUUGAGUUACAUUGGAAUCUACCCUAGCUUGUCACUCGCAAAGUGUCCUCACUUCGACCACCUCCUUGGGUUAUGUCCCUUUGACAUCCCCCAAUCAUUGUGAAACUUUUUAUUUAUUUUAAAAGUAUAUCCCAACAUUAUAGCUUUCUAUGAUGCUCCAGGCUCAUCUUCUGUAUUUCCUGCUGUGUCCUGGGAGCAGCCAUGUCUUCAGUGAGCCCUGAUUUCUCAUAGCAAAGAGUUUAGAAACCAGGAUCCUAUCCCUGGCUGCUGGGCCUUUGCUCCUCUGUCACAUAGAAGAGUUUUAGCCGUCCUCCCUUUAUUAACUUUUUAAAUUUUAGAUAUUUCUUAUUUUUAUGUGUAUGUGUAUUUUACCUGCAUGCAGGCUUGCACAUGUACGUACCUGUUGCCCGAAAGGGCAUCAUAUCCUCUGAAACUGAAAUUAUGGACAGUUUCGAGUCAUUCCGUAGGUGCUGGGAAUUGAACCCAGGUCCUCUGCAAGGAAUAAGUGCUCAUAACUAUGGAGCUGCCUCUCCAGCCCCCUAACUCCAGGGUUUUGUUUGUUUGGUGGGGGAGGGGUCCAAGUUUUAAUUUGUUUGGGUUUCUAUAUUAAGCAAUACCAUUUCUAUUAAAUAUUAGGGACCAGAACUGUUAAAUAGUUGUGACUUCUAUGCCUUUGGAAAGAAUGUUCUGUUGCAGGUAUCUUAAAGAAUUGCAGGAGCAAAACAAAAUAAAAAGGAAAACAAAGUAAACAGAACACAGAUGUGUAGGACUCGCUGUCAGGGAUGCUGUGGGUGAUGCUUGGGCAGAGUGCCUUUGCAGUAGCCUUUGUGAGCAGGGGGAUCCCUGAGGAUGAAGCCAGGGCCUCCUCCGUGGAGCUCCUGAGGCAAGCAUCCUGUACCUGAGCUCCCCAGCUCCCGACUCUCAGCUCUGCCGGCUUUCAUUUUUUAUGGACUUCUGUCUGUUUAUGACUAGACUAAGAAGUGCAAGUAGCCACUCAAUUGUAUUUACUCCUUAGAACAUUUCUUUUUUUUUUUUUUUUUUUUGCUGGAUGCCUAAUAUCUUAAUUAUGCAGUGAAAAGUGAUCUGCAGUAUCUACUCCCAGGAAUGACUGUUCUAGUAGGUGAUUAUCUAAUCACCCAGUGGUCAGGAAAGGACAACACGGUAUUAGGUAUUUUCCUGGCAAACACUCUCCCUAUCUAGAACUCAACAACUUAGAGAGAUCAGAGAGAUCUGAUAAAUGAUUUAAUUUAUAUUAAAUGAUAUAUAGUAGAAUGAUAGAAAGUAGAAAAUAUUUGACAUUACAUCUCAUUGAUAUUCUUGCCAAGAAAGAUAACACCUUAUCACCUUAUUCUUAACAUGACUUAUUAAUAUUCUUUGAUAGUAUGUAUAUAUAUAUAUAUAUUACAUUCUGCUUGUUUUGUUUGGGCCUAGAACUUCUUAUUUAGACCAGGCUGGCCUUGAACUCACAGAGAAUUGUUGGCCUGGCCUCUGUGCCACUGUGCCCACACAUAUAAUGCAUUCUGACUUCUUUCAUGCCAGCCUCCUACUGUCUCCCGCACACCUCUCUUACCCUGGCUACUCCCCCGGACUUCCUUACAACUCCAUUUUCACAUUCAUGUCUCUUUAUUUUGUCCUGUGAUCCAGGGCCUUUCUCUCCAUAGAAUCUGGGCUCUAUAUGGAGUUGAAGGGCCUCCUCUGUGGCUUCAUGAGUGAAGACAAUCGCUGGCUCUCUCUUAGAAUUUGGUCGCUAAUAAUUCAGCAGGGUAGCAGCGUUGGGGCAGGCCUGGUACGGGACUGACGACUCGUUCUUCUUUUCUUCUUUUCUUUUCUUUUUUUUUUUUUUUUGCCAAAAAUAUUUAUUUAUUAUGGAUUUAUUUGUUUAUUUAUUUAGAGAAUGUCUGUGUGUGUGUCUAUCUUUCUGUCUUCUUUUGUUUCUGUGUGUCGGUGUGCGGGCAUGUGUAUGGCACAGUAUGUAUGUGGAGCUCAGAGGACAGCUUGUGGGAGUCGGUUUUCUCCUUCCACCAUGUGGUCCCUGGGGCCAAAGGUCAUCAUGCUUGGUGGCAAACACCUUUACUUGCUGAACCAUUUUACCAUUCCUAAGGUUUAUUUUCAAUAGCUGUUAACUGAGAGUUGUCUGGGGACUGGGAAGCUCUGGCUAUUCCGUAGAGGACCCAGGUUCAUUCCCCAGCACCACACGGCAGCUCACAACAGUCCUUAACUCCAGUUCGAAGAGAUCUACAGCACCAGGCAUGCAUGUGGUCUAUAUUAUCUGUGCAUGCAGGCCAUACCUAUAUAUACAAAAUAAAAUAAAUCUGAAAAGAAGAAAAAGAUGGACCCCUUCAUGGUACAGUCAGUUACUACUCAGAGGAAGCCGGCUUACCUUUCCAUGUGAAGGGAGCUUGUUCUCCUUGGCAGCCAAGCCCUGCAGCUGCUGCCUGUGCCCUGGACUGCCCGCUGCCCGACCCUACUUGCCUUUGAGGGUUGGAGGUGAGGUGAUGCAGCAUCAAUGGCACAGAUUCUGGGAGCAGGUGAGAAAGACCACAGCAAGCUCCUUUAGUCCCUGUCCACCCUCACACCAUUGGCCCCAAGAAAGCAUCUCUUUUAGACAGCAGUUCCCGAUUGGCUAGCACUGUCUGCAUCAGCAAUCCUUGGUCUCUCAGACAGUCCUCAAUUAGGUCCUCCUGCAGGAGAUACCUUUGUUUAUGUAGAGGCACCUCACAGCUCCUCCUAUAUGCAGCAGCUGCUGCUGGCCAAGCCUUGCGAUCUUUUUAGAUUCAGAACAAAACAAAACAACAACAGCAACAACGACAGAAACCCAACUUUGGUUCUUUUAUAGGAUUCCUUCCCCUCCAGUGAUGAGCAGAAAGGCCCCUCACUCACAGUAACAAGCUACGUAAAUUUUGUAGAGGUUUUUUUUUCAUAAUAGAGAACGUGUAGCCACAAAGAGUAAGAUUUAGAAGAGCGUUGUGUGUGUCUGAGAGAGACAGAGAGAGAGAGAGAGAGAGAGAGAGAGAGAGAGAGAGAGAGAGAGAUAUGCCAUGCAGUCUAAAUGUUCCUGGACUAUUUGGGACCUGGAGGGUGGGUUGUGGCCAUGCCUGUGGGACUGACAGGAUGAUGUAUGACCUUAGGCCGCUGGAAGCAAGGCCAGCUGUGUUCAUGUGUAUAUGAACAUUCACUUUGCCACAGAGGCCCAGUGUCAGAGUCCUGCUGUCAGGCUGUAAAGGAAUUCCAGGCAAAUGUGAGGCCUACUGUAAGGGUAGCUUUUUGUGUCUGACGAUGAACUUGUACCCACUCACUUUUGUUGCCCCCGGUUUGAUAAACUACUUAGCUAUCUAUUCGAUGACUUCACCAUCACAGGCAUUUUGACUUUUGGCUCAAAGCAGAGCCUCGGUAUGAACUUAGUUUUGCUGUAGUUCAGGGAGCCAGAUUUCAUACAGUCAGUUUCCAGGAAACUGUAAGGAUAGUGAUAUGUGUGUAGCAGUUUGUCUUUUUUCUUUUUUAAUCCACAUCUUUGCCAGGAGAGUUUGCUGUGUAAUAAAAAGGUGAGAGUCUAUAGCUGUCUGUGUGCCAAGCCUAGUGUAGAUGAUUCGGUGCUCGAGGUAGCUGGUAGCUGCAAGAGAGCCUAUGCAAAGAGCUGUGUGUAGUACUCCUCACUGUUCCUGAGGGGUCAGAUGCAAGUCUAUAGUCCUGUUUGUGGAAAUUCUCUGAAGAGAGGAACAGCUCCUGGGUUGUCGGUGUCCUGUAGAGUUUCUGUGGUGAUGGACACACCCUCUCUCUUGCUGCAUAAUAUGACAGCCACAGGCCAUAUAGGUCUGCUCAGUGCUUGCAAUGUUGGGACAUGGCUGGGGACUUGAAUUUUAAACAAUUCAACUUACAUUUUAUUUCCAAUUUAAAUAGCCACAUUUGUCUAGUCAUUGCUCUUUCUUUGGACAGCACAGCUCUAAAAUGUUUACUUUUCUAACAUUCGGAAGUGCUUAGACCCCCACAAUACGUCUAACUAACAACCCAGAAGUAAGUAGUUAGUCUUUUGUUGUGAGUUUCCUUGUGUCUGGCUGCUGCAUGUGUGCCUCUGAAAGUUCAUGGUGGAACCAGGCACCCUUAGGAAUCUAGAGUUGUAGAUUAGCUCAGGAAGGCAUUGCACCACUCUAAAUGAUGCGCACCUGGGACUGCAAGGGGAUGUGUGUGGUAAGUUUGUGUCUGUGUUGUCUCCCCACCCAGGACUUGGUGAGCAUGGUGCAGGAUGCUCUGCUGCCUCAUUUGCUCUGCCAUUGAUCCUUUGCCCUCGAAUAAAGGCGAAGAUUGGAACGGGGAUCUUGGAAACAGAUAUGACAGAGGACCAGGAAAUCUGAUGUCUGCUGCAAGGCUAUGUCUUUUGGAUAUGAUAGGGAGACUUUGCUAGUGAUAUCUUAACAGUAUGGCUGCCUAAAGAAGACCGGAACAAUGACAUCACUAAUUGACAUGCUAGUGUGGCUGGGAGAAGUCUCACCAGGGCCCUAAUCCCAGCAAUUUACAAUUGUGAAGAGAGGGGAGAGUUGGUCUUCCCCAAGAAUGAGUGUCCUCAUUGUUUAUCCAGUACCAAUUGGUCAGCUCUAAAGACAUGAGUAUAGGCAACAUUAAAUGGACUCAGAAGGUUGUAUUUAAAUAUUCAGUCAUACAUAUGUAGCAGUAAUAAUUAAAGAAUAAGAGGCCAUUAAUUUAGGAGGAGUAGGGGUGAUGUGGGAGGGGCUGGAAGGGGAUGUGAUGUAACUAUUUUAAAAAAAGAAAAUAAGACACACCUCCCAUUAAAACAAAGUAUUACCCUUUUUAGAAUAUCUUAAGAUCAGAGUAGGAGUUAUUUAUUACUGUAGCGUUUUCCAAAGAGAGGUACCGUCAGGUCAUCUCAUUCCUUUAGAGCUGAAUUCUAAUAAUUACGUCUUUAGAGAUCACAGGAAUUCUUUAACCCCCUUUAAAGUUACUGAGAAAUCGCAGAGCAGCUCUGUGGGGAGGGGUCACAGUUCAUGUUUCCUUUCCUUUUCUAGAAACAUUUACUAAAAAUUCUAAUUAUCUGUCACUUUCAGAUUAAAAGAGAAACCACACACAGCCUCAUCUGUGUAAAUAUAUAUACAUAGAUUAAAAUCCUUAUGAUACUGAAAAAAAAUUGUAUAAGUCCUUAUUUUCCCAAGAGAAAACUUCUGUUUUUUCCGAUUGCUUUUGGAUACAUUUUUCUUCCUUCCUUCCUUCCUUCCUUCCUUCCUUCCUUCCUUCCUUCCUUCCUUCCUUCCUUCCUUCCUUCCUCCCUCCCUCCCUCCCUCCCUCCCUCCCUCCCUCCCUCCCUCCCUCCCUUUUCCUUCUUUUUAUCUCAGUGUUUCUCAGACUUUCAGAGUUACAGAUUUCUGGCUUAGUAGGUUUGCCAUAGGCCCUGGUUUCUGGUGCUGAUGUGGCUGGUCAAGGCCUGCUCUUCAGCAAUGACUGAGCCAUCUUGCUUGAUCAUCCAGGAACCCCAUGAUCUGCUGGCAGAUAUGGGCCUUCACUGAAAGAAACCAAAGCUGAAAGAAAGUCCUUUCCCCAGGACCACGUGAUAAAUUGGGGUGAAGAGCUACCUUAGUCUGGGAAGACUUUUGAUAUUGUCUGUUAGGUUUCAAACCUGGACAAAUGGUUGGGGUACCACUUAACAUAUCAAAGUGGACCUGGCUGUCAGGCUCUCCCUGCAUCCCUCAGUCCCCGCCUGUUGCAGGACCCUCCUGGUUGUGUAGACCUUGCCCCACACUCUAAACUCUGCCGCUCAGGGGGCUCGGCUGCUCUUCCCUUUAUAAUCCAAGCUCUUUUCUUAUCUGUGGGGCUCCUGGGUGCUGCACCUGGCCCCCCUCUGUCCCCUCUUCCUUCCUGUCCCCCCUCUCCCACACAGCACAGCUCAGGGUGAUGUCCACUCUGGACUCCCCCAGAGGCCCCUGACCCUGGCUGUGAUCUCCCACAGGUCGGUAGUAAACCUUCUGCUCUGCCAUAUCCAGGAGCAGCCAGGGUUCCCUCCUUUUCCUUUUUAUUUCUUUUAUUCAUUCAUUCUCCAUUGUACACCAGGAAUUUAGUCCCCAAAUCCCUCUGAGAGUUCAAACAUGUUCAAUAUCCUCAUCUCAUCCUUUGCGGAGCUAUUUAGAUGCAAUCCUUCCAGUACUCAUAUAUUUAUUCAGUCAUAUGUUUGAGUCUUUUUCUCUUUUCAAGAGGACAAUAACUAUUUUUUUUUUACCUUGUAAAAGGCUAGUGUGCUGACUCAAAAAGGCCAGAUACUAUGAAAGCCUGCAGACCCAGAACUCAUACAAAAGGACGAGAGAAGUGACUCUUUAGAGUUAUCCUGUGGCAUGUUCAUGCAUUUGCGUGCGUGCACACACACGUACACGCACAUGCACGCACACACACACUAACAACUUUAAAUUUUUUAAAGAGGAAGCAUAAAGGUACCAUCCCCUUUAAAGAAACAAUUGAUUGCGCUUGUUAAGACCACUCACAGUCAAUGACAAGAAAGGGGGACAUGCAGUCCUAUAACUGUUUUUCUAAACCCUAACUUGUCUGUAGAACCAUUAUUUGUGGGCCCAGCGAAUUUAGGUGGAUGAUGAAUGACCCAGGACAGGGAGUCUGAUAACCACACGGCCAGAGUCCCUAUACUUGUAUUGGCUGCAGCAAGGUGCCUUUACUGCUUGUAUGAUUGGAGUGUGUGUGUGUGUGUGUGUGUGUGUGUGUGAGAGAGAGAGAGAGAGAGAGAGAGAGAGAGAGAGAGAGAGAGAGAGAGAGAGAGAGAGAGAGAAAGAGAGAGAGAGAAUUGUAGGGGAACAAAGAAACCCAUGCUAUCAUAAACUUGGUCCUACUGAGUGGUUUCAUAUCACAUAUCCUGCAUAUCAGAUAUUUACAUUAUGAUUCAUAACAGUAGUAAAAUUGCAAUUAUGAAGUAGGAACAAAAAUAAUUUUAUGGUUGGUGGGAAGGGAAGGGGCUGAGGUUCUGUGUUACAGGGUAGCAGCAUUAGGCAGUUUGAGAAGCACCGACCUAAGGCCAGUGUGUGGUUUUACUUAUCCUGCAGCCUUUUAGGGGAUCAUUUUGAGGAAACUGGUCCUGGUGGGAGUAUGUAAUUUAGCCAAAGUCUCUCACAUUUAAGGUAAGCAAUCAAGCUGGGGCAUAAAUACCCUACCUUGGACUGACACGUAAGGGCUGGCAGUGAUACUCACUGGGAGUUGUGUGCAAAACUCCACAUUCCUCGAAGUAAAUUAUUCUCCAUCAAUGCAAAACUAAAUUUUUAGACUGAGCCCACGUUUCUCCCAUCUGUCUGUUGACCAGUUCCUUUGCUAAAAUGUCAGGUAGCGUGUCUUGCCGUGGCUAUCCCAGGGAGAUUUUAUGGCAGCCAUUUGGGUGUUAACUGCCGUGUGUUGUGAGCUUCAAUUUGUCUUAAAGCUACAAAGAGCUUCCAUGACAUUUGCACCAAUAACUCAGGUUUGUUAUUCUUCAUUUCUCCUUGGUAGGUCUGAUGGCUUUCCAAACAAAGGCAGUCCUCUAAGUACCUGGCAUAACCUAGUUCAUGGAGGUGCUUGGAUAAAACUCCCGGAGAUGUCUAUUUAAGAUCAGUUCCUUAGAUUCCCCCAUUGUCCCCAAGGUCUUUUUACCUCUUGUAUGAGUGUUUUAACAGAAUAUUUCAUAAUGAUAUUCAGAUUUACAAUAAUUGAUUUGUGGAUACUAUUGAUAACUCUACACUGAACAAAUACAUGGUAACUAAUUCAUGUAGUCAAGUCAUUGCCGUGUGGCUAUGAGGACUGUAUUGGCUCUUAGAUGUUUCCCUUACCUACUGAGUAAGGUAAAAAUCACUGACUUGAAAAUAAACUCCUUCCUGCCUUUGGAUGUCAGCUUUCUUUUCUGUUAGUUAUGCUGCUUUCCUCCUUGAGUGGAGUGAGAUGGCGUGUGUCAUUCAUACCAGUGUCUGUGCAGUGGAGUGACAGUAAGCAGUGGCCAGGCGGUGCCUCUCCUUAAAAUAGUUUUUCUUCAUGAAAAAGCUCUGAAAUCAGAGCACAGUGGUCCAACUAGAACGUAGACAUCUUGGAGAAACAGGUUGGAAGCAAGACUGCCAUGUGACCCCUUGAGACAAACAUCUUUAGGAAGAACACAUCAACUAGGAACAUUAGUAAAAGGGUCACGCUUAUAGAGAGGGUCAGGGUGUCUUCGAUGGCAGAACACUUUGCAGAUGGUGGUGGCAUUUGUGUGUCUGAACUUAGAGCCACUGAAUCGGGCCACUUGAACAUGAAGAUGCUUAAGUGGCACUGUGGUGGAGUGCACGCUUAUAUUCUGAGCCCUGCGUUUGAGCUCCCACACUACAGACAAUAAACACAUCAACAGUUACAAACAGAGUUGAAUACUGGUGCUUCAGUGGAAAAUGUAAGCGAAGAAAAGAGCAGUAUGUGUUGAGCAUCUGAGCUGCCUUCUGGGCAUCUCUCCAGUGGAUGUACCAUCACACCCGGCAGUUUGUGACCAGCAGAUCCAUUUGGUGGAGUGGAUCCCACCUGGUUAGGAAUCUGUUCUCUCAUGUUCCAGGCUGUGGUCCUAGGGGCAGGGCCAGCACACGCUCAGUGAGUGAGGACACCGUUCCCCUCAGUAGCCCACGUGUGGUCCGUGCACUCGAUAUGACCACAGCCUAGCCAGCUCUCUGGAGAUGACUUGGCCUCAGAUGUGAGACUGGGCAGCAUGGUGGCCUCACCUUUCUGUCACUCACCAGCUGCACACAGAUUCUAAAGGAAUUUCUGAACCUUUUCUGUGUGAGAAUAGCCAUACUUGUAAGAACCAUGCACGGCUUAGAGGACCCGAGUUUGAGUACCAUUCUUACCCUUACGUGGUGAGGAUCUAUGGCCGGAAUCUGCUGCUCUCCUGGAGUUACCGUCUAACAGCGCCGCUUUUACAAGAGGGGAGCUCUGUGACGUGGCCAGUGCUGUACUGAUGUGAAAUGAGUCUUGACUGGACAGAAAGUUACAAACUUAAUAAUAAUGUGAAAUUCUACUUUCUAGCAAGUCACCUUGCUAUUCUUUAGUUUCAGAGCAAUUAUAAAAUUGUGAACGAUUUGGAGUAGGAGGAAGGGGUCUGGUUAACUCAGCCAGGCACGAUUUUCUCCUUAUAAGUGUCUCUGGCCUGUCUAGUAGUCCGGUAUGUUGUGGACACUGCUCAUUGUCUUUGAACUUUUUAUCCUUUGGUGUGUGGGAUAGGAGGAGAGUGGAGGUGGAGAUGGGGGAGCAGCGGAGGCAUUUGCUUCUCUUUCUAGCUCCUGGGUCAGGUCACUCCUUACAGCCACCUGCUACUCUGCCAAGGGAUCUAAUCCCCUCUUCUGGCUUCUGUAGACAAGUGCAUGCACACACACGUGCACACACACGCACAACAACAACAGCAAUAAUAACAACAACAACAUUUUUUUUCCUCAGAAGAAAGCAGGUCUUAAGGCUGCUGGCUCUUGUCACGGACACACUGGUCAUGUUUGGAGAGUGCAGCAGACCCCUGUCCUAUGCACGGCCUUACUUUGGCCCGAUUUCCUUCAUGAUGGUGGUUUAGAUACCUAUGUGUUUUCCAUUUUGGAUUCUCCUGUAAGUUAUAGCAUUUCACUGGUUCCUUCAUUAGUGAGAUCAAUAAAAUUAUUUACCUUUGUUUAUUUUUUAAGAGUCAUAAUUUUACUUUUAUAAAGAAAUCUUUCCUUUUUGGAAGAUACAUUUAUUUUUAUUUUGUGUGCAUGUAUGUUUGCUUGUAUGUAUAUGUACCACAUUCAUGCAGUACCUAAAGACGCCAGAAGGGGGCACCAGAUUUUUCCUGUAAUUGUGGUUAUGGGUCCGUGUCCCGCGGGGGAUGGGGUGGGGGGGGGGGCAUGUUGAUAUUCAGAACUAAACCCUGGGUCCGCUGAAAGAGUAGCUGGUGCUUUUAAUUGCUCAGCUAUCUCUUUAGCCUGUAUAAAUGAAUAUUCUGUAAUACAGUAAAAGAACACAAUCCUGGGAAUUACAUUUCUACUUUGUCUGUCUGUCUGUUCAUCUGUCUUUUCUAUUCCUGCCUUUCUCCCUCCCUAUGCUGUGUGUGUGUGUGUGUGUGCGCGUGCGUGCGUGAUGUGUGUUGGUGCAUGUGUGUGCAUGUGAGGACAGUGAUCAACCCUAGGCCUUGUUCUCCAGGAGCCAUCCCCCCUGUUUGUUGAGACAGCUUCUCACUUUUUAGCAGGCUACCCAGAAAAGCACCGUGGAGCGAGCCCCUUGCCUCUGCUUUUCCACGCGUUCACCACCAUGCCUGGAUCUUUAUGUGGGUGCCUUAAAUGACCUCUGGCCCAUGGUUAUGUGACUUGAAAUUUUAUCAUUUAAUACCCUCUAAACCCAGUAUGUCUGCCUUAAGCCUGUUAGUGUGGAAGCACAUUAGCAUAAAGUCGAUCUAGUUCUUUCAGUGAAGUUUACCCUCUCUUCCUCCCCCUGGCACCCGCUUCCUUCCCCCCUUUCUGCCUCUCUCCUUUCUCCCUUUGUUUCUCAUAGGGUCUUAUUAUAGAGCCCGAGGCUUACCAGACUCUCAAAUCCUCCCGUCUCUGCUUCUCAAGGGCCAAGACAAAUUGCAUCUUGCAUCACUUCAGAAUCUGUCCUAUAUAAAGGCCACAGUAGAAGUUCUCUGAAGUGAUUGUUAAAGCAGACAGAAGUAUGUUUUACAGAAGUUUUAUCUGUUGCUUUGUAUUUCUUGCUUAUGGCAGUUUUCAGUAGAGAGUAAUUGAAGAAAAAAGAGCAUCCUACUGUAGGUAAUGAUUUAGUUAAGAAAGAUGUUUGCCUGUAAAAUGGCAUCUUGGUAUAGAAAAACCAACAGUGCUCACAGAAAGCAAUGGUGCUAAUUCCAGUGACUUGCUUGUUUGUUUUAAUACCAACCACCCUUGUGCUCAGAAAAGUAUUUCCGCAUCACCCAACCCCACAGAGUUGAGACAUGUAAGGAUUGAAGCUCUCAUUUCUGCUGUUCGUGUGGUCAUUUUUAAACACUAAUACUAGACUUGCAUCCCAUGAGCUAAGGCCACUAAACACCACAGGCUAGAUGGUUUGAAAAACAGGAUUUAUUGUUCAUUAUCAUAGCUCUAUAAAACAGGUCAGAGUCCUUCUGCAUUGUUUAACAAGGGCUUGCUUUCUGGUUGCAAAUGGUUCCUUCUAGAAAAUCCCCUUUAUUCCUGCAUGCCCAUGAAGAAGUAUAUUUCAUUGGAACCUUCCUCCUGUUAGGUCAAGACCCACCUGCAUCUCCUGAUUUAGCUGUAGUUUCUCCUCCGAAGGCUUCAUCUCCAUGGGACACUUUGAGGGUUAAGGCUUUAACAUAAUGAAUUUUGAGGUGGAUUCAAACAUUGAGUUUAUAAAAAGGUACGGUACUUUUAGAAGCAGAAAUCAGACAUCUAAGGUAUAGGAGGCAUCAAGUGCUGUCCCUAGAGGAGGCCAGGUGAGCACCACCCAGGCCCUCAUGGUGGUGACACGACAGGCCCACAUCAGUGCGGGUUCUCAUCUAGAAUGGAGUAAUUAUACUAAGCCACUGCUGUUCCUCGGUCCAAAAUUUUGACUAUGAUCUCUGAAGUUUCCCCCUGUAGUGAAAGAGGACAAUAAACCUGCCUUUUUACAUUUUUAAUUUAGUCUAAAUUUGGGGAUGCCUUUGGGCAGUACAUGUCUUUAGAUGUUUUCAGCUUAUAUAAUGGUAUCCUAGAAAAGACAAAUGCUUUCUGUUUUUCCAAUUCUUGGCCUUUCCGUAGAACUGCCUUUAUUGGUUCCAUUGCUAAUGGGAAUGCUGUCACUCAGGACAUAAUAUAGCAUGAUCUUUCUUGGUCCUUGGAGUGGCUCCCUUGGCAGUGUGGUGUCACCUCAGGUCCUGGGGCUCUCCUUCUGGGCCUGAUGCCUUUUGUUGCUGUAUGUCAUGUCUCAUCUUGUAAAUCCUUCUAGCAAUACCUUUUAUUACUGAGGUGGCAACUCUUGUUUCUGCCAGGGCUCUACACUGCUACUGUUAUAGGUCAUUCAUUUAAAACACCUAGCCAAAGAGCAGCAGACAGAUCAUCACCUGCAAAGAGCAGACCAUCAUAUUUGCUUUCUUCUCAAACUCUGUGUUGAUCAUGGAAAGUUUUUCAUGUAUCCUAGGGUGUCCUCAAACUCACUACGGAGUGGAGAAUGGCCUUAAACUCCUGAUCUUCACACAUCCUGGGAUUACAUACAUGUGCCAGCGUGCCUGCCUCAUCAGGCCUUUUUGUUAACAUUUUUACCUUGUAGGAAAUUGAGUUUGUGUUUCCUCACCUUGAGCUAUCAUUACUUAAGGAGGUUAGUCUAACUAUUUCUGGCUGUUUUUUCUCCUAGGCCAUUCAUCUCAUGGUUAAGGUGUGGUCAUAGCUGUGAAAUUAAAUGGCAUCUAACAGCCAAUGAACUAUAUUUAGAUUUGUGCUUGAUAGUAUUUUCUUCCCAGUGUUGGGGAUUGAAUCCAGGGCUGUGCACAUAGGAGGUAAGUGCUCUCCCACUUAGCCAUAUCCUAACUUCUAAAAAUGCUUUGAGACCCAUUUGAUGUUUUCUCUUUCCUUCCUAGUUAUCCACCAAGCUUAGUCUAUUUGAAAGAUACUGUUUUCUCAUAAUCUACCUUUAGUGUACAGUUUUAUUGAUCCCCCUAAAUUUAUACAGAUUUUCUCUUACUUCUGCUGAUGAUCUUUCUCUUACAUUAACUUUUUAUGUGCAUGCCGCUGAUAUAAAAUUCUAGGUAUAAAGAGCAAAACAGACAAUUGGGCCAGGCAGCAUAGGCCUGCAGUCUUAGCUACUUGGGAGGCUACAAUACGAAGCCUGGAAGUUUAAUGUUCACUUGGGCUACAGGGCAAGUUCAAGGUCAGCCUGGGCAAGUUAGGAAGACAUUGCCACAAACCACAAAGUAAAAGGAGGGUUGAGAGUGUUGCUUAGUGGCAAAGGGCUUGCCUAGCACAUUGGCAGUUCAAUCCUGAGCAAUGCAAGUGUGUCCACACGCACUUAUGCACACACUCAUAUGCACUAAUGUGCACUUGUACACACAUGUGCACACCGAGAGCAACGUGAACAACCAAAGAAACGGUUUAGACAAAGGAUAGAAAUAUAAUUAAAGCACACACUGUUUAACUUGCUAUCGGAGGUUCUGGGCUCUGGAGAAAGUCUGAAAGAUUCUCUUUUCUCAGGACCUCCUUUUCUAAACUAAUUUUUCUCACUUGUACUUAGUGGCUUGCUCAGUGCCUUCUCAGUAUGAGCUACGUACUUUGGUGUUAACUGUCUCCCCUCCAUCUUCAUCUUCAGUCUUAGUUAGGAUUUUACUGCUGUGAACAGACACCAUGACCAAGGCAACUGUUAUGAGAACAACAUUUAAUUGGGGCUGGCUUACAGGUUCAGAGGUUCAGUCCAUUAUCAUCAAGGCAGGAACAUGGCAGCGUCCAGGCAAGCAUGGUACAAGAGACACAGAGAACUCUGCAUCUUCAUCUGAAGGCCACUAGCAGAAUACUGGCUUCCAGGCAGCUCAGAGAAGGGCCUUAAAGCCCAUGCCCCACAGUGACACACCUACUCCAACAAGGUCCCAUCUCCUAAUUGUGCCACUCCCUGGGCCUAGCAUAUUCAAAGCCACCACAGUGUCUGAGAGUGAAGAGCAGUUUCUCACACCGAGGAGAAGUUGACAUUCAGGAGGUGCUCUUCCAGGGAUGAUGCCCUCUGUCCCGCAAGUGUCCCUGUGAAACUGGCUUCUUGGUUUCUAGUCUUUGGAUGAAGAGACAGGGAAGCUGAACUUGGGAGGUUUCUUGGAGGCAUCAUGGAGGUAUCAAGGUGUCAGAGUGUGACUUAUUGUUGUGCUCACUUGUAUCUGAGUUUUUUUGCUUGUGAAUCCAAGUUAUGUACCUAAUGAGAGAAUAAUAAAGUAGUAUCAUUUUGGCUUAAAUUUGUUUCUUAGAUUAGACUGGUGCAUUCAGGAAGAACAUAGCGCAGUGUAGUGGGAAGAGUAUUAUUCUGGGAGGCCUACAUCUAGGUGAGAAGGCAGCUUUGCCAGAUGACGAGUACGCCGGGCCUGAGCCUGCUAUUUCAUCUUUUCAGGCCUGAGGUUUCCAGUUCUACUCUGAAGGAGCAGAGGUAGGAUAACUCUUGGAUCUCUCACUUCAGUGCUGUAGUGGCAGUGAGAGGGAGUUUGUAACUGUAGAGGGGACUGGAUAGAACUGGGACAGAGGACGUGAGGCAUGAGAGAUGAGAGGGUGGUGAAGGACAGGGGCUGUUGUGGUGGCAGAGCAAAGGCUGUUGCUCAGGAAUGCAGCUGAUUAUUUUCAAUGGGGAAUUAAUAAGUCAGGUGUGACUAUGGGAAUUAAUAGGGCAGGUGUGACUAUGGGGAAUUAAUGUGGCAGGUGUGACUCUGGGGGAUUAUUAGAGCAGGUGUGACUAUGGGGAAUUAUUAGGUCAUGUGUGACUAUGAAGAAUUAAUAGGGCAGGUGUGUCUAUGGGGAAUUAGUAGGGUGGUGUGACUAUAGGAAUUAAUAGGGCAGGUGUGACUAUGGAGAGUUAAUAGGGCAGGUGUGACUAUAGAGAAUUAAUGUGGCAGGUUUGACUAUGGAGAAUUAAUAGGCCAGGUGUGGCUAUGGGGAAUUAAUAGGGCAGAUGUGACUAUGGAGAGUUAGUAGGGCAGGUGUGACUAUGGGCAAUUAAUAGGGCAGGUGUGACUAUGGAGAAUUAAUAGGGCAGGUGUGACUAUGGGUAAUUAAUAGGGCAGGUGUGACUAUGGGGAUUUAAUAGGGCAGGUGUGACUAUGGGGAAUUAAUAGGGCAGGUGUGACUAUGGGGAUUUAAUAGGGCAGGUGUGACUAUGGGGAUUUAAUAGGGCAGGUGUGACUAUGGGGAAUUAAUAGGGCAGGUGUGACUAUGGGGAUUUAAUAGGGCAGGUGUGACUAUGGGGAUUUAAUAGGGCAGGUGUGACUAUGGGGAAUUAAUAGGGCAGGUGUGACUAUGGGGAAUUAAUAGGGCAGGUGUGACUAUGGGGAUUUAAUAGGGUAGGUGUGACUAUGGGGAAUUAAUAGGGCAGGUGUGACUAUGGGGAAUUAAUAGGGCAGGUGUGACUAUGGGGAUUUAAUAGGGCAGGUGUGACUAUGGGGAAUUAAUAGGGCAGGUGUGACUAUGGGGAAUUAAUAGGGCAGGUGUGACUAUGGAGAAUUAUUAGGCUAGGUGUGACUAUGGGAAUUAUUAGGCCAGGUAUGACUCUGGAGAAUUAAUCGGGCAGGUGUGACUAUGGCUACUAAUGAGAAACACUUCUUAAUCUUAGAAGAGGUCUUACUGCUCUGUUUGUUUUGUUGAGAAAAAUCACCUUAAAGGAGGAAAGGCCUAUUUUGCUCACGGUUUUAGUCUGUGGUCAGUUGGCUCCAUUAUUUUUGUGUCCAUGGCAAAAUAGCAAAUUGUUGGUGCAAGUUGAUGUGUGUACCUCAUGGUGCAUAGGAAGUA